This 252-nucleotide ribosomal RNA is filed under the name uncultured bacterium. Its description in RNAcentral is "partial 16S ribosomal RNA". It matches the Rfam family "Bacterial small subunit ribosomal RNA", at positions 524 to 776 of the family's 1533-position model. The record is from RNAcentral.
UACGAAGGGGGCUAGCGUUGUUCGGAAUUACUGGGCGUAAAGCGCACGUAGGCGGCUUGUCGCGUCGAAUGUGAAAUCUCAGGGCUCAACUCUGACAUUGCAUUCGAUACGGGCAGGCUGGAGUGCGGUAGGGGAGAACGGAAUUCCCGGUGUAGCGGUGAAAUGCGCAGAUAUCGGGAGGAACACCGGUGGCGAAGGCGGUCUCUGGGCCUGUACUGACGCUGAGGAGCGAAAGCGUGGGGAGCGAACAGG